CCUACGGGAGGCAGCAGUGAGGAAUAUUGGUCAAUGGACGAGAGUCUGAACCAGCCAAGUAGCGUGAAGGAUGACUGCCCUAUGGGUUGUAAACUUCUUUUAUAUGGGAAUAAAAUGUUCCACGUGUGGGAUUUUGUAUGUACCAUAUGAAUAAGGAUCGGCUAACUCCGUGCCAGCAGCCGCGGUAAUACGGAGGAUCCGAGCGUUAUCCGGAUUUAUUGGGUUUAAAGGGAGCGUAGGUGGAUUGUUAAGUCAGUUGUGAAAGUUUGCGGCUCAACCGUAGAACUGCAGUUGAAACUGGCAGUCUUGAGUACAGUAGAGGUGGGCGGAAUUCGUGGUGUAGCGGUGAAAUGCUUAGAUAUCACGAAGAACUCCGAUUGCGAAGGCAGUUCACUGGACUGCAACUGACACUGAGGCUCGAAAGUGUGGGUAUCAAACAGGAUUAGAUACCCCAGUAGUC
Molecule: ribosomal RNA, 460 nt
Filed under: uncultured bacterium
Lineage: Bacteria
Description: partial 16S ribosomal RNA
Rfam family: Bacterial small subunit ribosomal RNA
Source: RNAcentral